RNAcentral lists this ribosomal RNA (253 nucleotides) under uncultured bacterium. Its description in RNAcentral is "partial 16S ribosomal RNA". It matches the Rfam family "Bacterial small subunit ribosomal RNA", at positions 524 to 776 of the family's 1533-position model. The record is from RNAcentral.
UACGAAGGGUGCAAGCGUUACUCGGAAUUACUGGGCGUAAAGCGUGCGUAGGUGGUUUGUUAAGUCUGCUGUGAAAGCCCUGGGCUCAACCUGGGAAUGGCGGUGGAUACUGACAAGCUAGAGUGCGGUAGAGGAGGGUGGAAUUCCCGGUGUAGCGGUGAAAUGCGUAGAGAUCGGGAGGAACAUCAGUGGCGAAGGCGGCCCUCUGGACCAGCACUGACGCUGAGGCACGAAAGCGUGGGGAGCAAACAGG